RNA transcript from Rhinopithecus roxellana (golden snub-nosed monkey), 1080 nucleotides. RefSeq lists it as uncharacterized. The record is from RefSeq and is a predicted model, not a curated record. The transcript has a single exon. NCBI's taxonomy places the organism in Eukaryota, Metazoa, Chordata, Mammalia, Primates, Cercopithecidae.
AUGUUAUCUAAUCUGUUGGCAUACUGUUGUUCUUGAUGUGUGUGAGGUCUCUGAGAACAUCCCUGCCUUCACUCCUGCUUUUAGUCACUGGCAUCUUCUUUUAGCUUGGGCCGUCUGGCUGUGCAUGGUUUUGGGGGAGUCCUCCUUGACCAUGCAGAUGCUGAGCAGUGACCUGGCUGGGAAAGGGGACCGGGAGUGCAGGGCACCUGCUGAGGACUCACCUAAGCCCAAGAUUCAGAGAGUCAGGGCUCCAACCACAUCCACCUGCAUGCCUUUCCCAGGCUCUCCCCACACAGACAGCCAGCGCCUCCUCCUCCCCAAAGACUGGGCAGUUCCUGACUAGCACCCCACCAAGUCCUCAGUAAGGCCUGUCUUUGGGGGAGCAGGGUCUCAGGAGGAUAGCGGAGGUGGUGUGGAACUCAUGGCUGGUGGUUCCGGGCCUCUCAGGAAGCUUUGCCACUGGCUUGGGGUUAAGUGGGUGUGGAGCUCUGAACCCUAAAGGGGUGAGAGUUGAAAUGGAAGUGGCAUCUGUAGUCCAUUUGGGGUGCAGGUGCGUGCCAGGGGUCCUCAGCCCCGGCUGAUGGCCACAUGAACCACGUGAGGAGAGGCAGGGCAUGUCAGCAGCAACCCUAAGUGUGUGCUCAUUUCUGUGGGCCCUGACUCGGUGACACUGCGGCUCUCCAGAGGGACGCUUUGAAAACAAAACAGGAAAGAACAUAUGGUCCCGCGUCUUUUGCCUGAGUCACUGUAUUCCUUAAAAGAUGAAGGACCCUGGUCCUUGGCUUUUCCUGCACAUGAGAAAAUGUUGGCCGAGGUUAGCGAUUAUGCGUCUGUAAUCUGUAACCAGAAGUGCUGUUACGCCCAAGCCUUGGUGUGAUUCUGCUGUCAUGUAACUUCAGAGCCAGCUGGAUGGAUUUGACUGUGCAGGUCCUGAGCCCCGGCCCCCACAUCCAAGCAGUGGGCUGGGACACUGAGCCGGGCAGUCAGACAGGACCUCUCUAAGGCUGCCCCCCGGGCUGGGGCCUGGGUCUAGGAUUCUCAGUAAGACAUUUGAAUAAAACUAACUUGAAUUCUUGAAAA